AACGAACGCUGGCGGCAUGCCUAACACAUGCAAGUCGAACGAGACCUUCGGGUCUAUUUGCGCACGGGUGCGUAACGCGUGGGAACCUGCCCUUAGGUUCGGAAUAACUCCCCGAAAGGGGUGCUAAUACCGGAUAAUGUCUUCGGACCAAAGAUUUAUCGCCUUUGGAUGGGCCCGCGUUGGAUUAGCUAGUUGGUAGGGUAAAAGCCUACCACGGCGACGAUCCAUAGCUGGUCUGAGAGGAUGAUCAGCCACACUGGGACUGAGACACGGCCCAGACUCCUACGGGAGGCAGCAGUGGGGAAUAUUGGAAAAUGGGCGAAAGCCUGAUCCAGCAAUGCCGCGUGAGUGAUGAAGGCCUUAGGGUUGUAAAGCUCUUUUACCCGGGAUGAUAAUGACAGUACCGGGAGAAUAAGCUCCGGCUAACUCCGUG
This 433-nucleotide ribosomal RNA is filed under the name uncultured bacterium. RNAcentral's name for it is "partial 16S ribosomal RNA". It matches the Rfam family "Bacterial small subunit ribosomal RNA", at positions 29 to 507 of the family's 1533-position model. The record is from RNAcentral.